This 73-nucleotide transfer RNA is filed under the name Candidatus Aenigmatarchaeota archaeon. Its description in RNAcentral is "tRNA-Thr". It matches the Rfam family "tRNA". From Rfam's summary of the family: Transfer RNA (tRNA) molecules are approximately 80 nucleotides in length. Their secondary structure includes four short double-helical elements and three loops (D, anti-codon, and T loops). Lineage: Archaea; Nanobdellati; Candidatus Aenigmatarchaeota. The record is from RNAcentral.
GCCUCGAUAGCUCAGCUGGUAGAGCGACUGCCUUGUAAGCAGUAGGUCGAGGGUUCGAAUCCCUCUCGAGGCU